GAAAAUCGAGGGAAAUAAAAAAUUACCAAAAUGUCUCUAAAUAUUGGUAUUUCUGCAAUUUAGCCUGGUAAGUUUGUAUGAACUAUAUUCUGUAUAAUUUUGAUUAACGUGAAUAUUAUUUGGUGAUGGAUAUUAUAUAUAUCUGUUCUAUUGUUGGGAUUGAAUUAUUAUUGAAAAUAUAUUAUCGAAUUUAAUACUCAGUUUGGAUUAAACGUG
RNAcentral lists this long non-coding RNA (216 nucleotides) under Gossypium barbadense (sea-island cotton). RNAcentral describes it as "long non-coding RNA (GBAR_LNC013442)". The record is from RNAcentral. Lineage: Eukaryota; Viridiplantae; Streptophyta; Magnoliopsida; Malvales; Malvaceae.